RNAcentral lists this ribosomal RNA (111 nucleotides) under Chinchilla lanigera (long-tailed chinchilla). The record is from RNAcentral. Lineage: Eukaryota; Metazoa; Chordata; Mammalia; Rodentia; Chinchillidae.
GUCUACGGCCAUACCACCCUGAACGUGCCUGAUCUUGUCUGAUCUCGGAAGCUAAGCAGGGUUGGGCCUGGUUAGUACUUGGAUGGGAGAAUGAGCUGAUUGGCUUAGACC